This 253-nucleotide ribosomal RNA is filed under the name uncultured bacterium. RNAcentral's name for it is "partial 16S ribosomal RNA". It matches the Rfam family "Bacterial small subunit ribosomal RNA", at positions 524 to 776 of the family's 1533-position model. The record is from RNAcentral.
UACGAAGGGGGCGAGCGUUGUUCGGAAUCACUGGGCGUAAAGGGCGCGUAGGCGGCCCUUCUUGUCGCGUGUGAAAUCCCUGGGCUCAACCCAGGAACUGCGUCCGAUACUGGUUGGCUUGAAUCCGGGAGAGGGACGUGGAAUUCCAGGUGUAGCGGUGAAAUGCGUAGAUAUCUGGAGGAACACCGGUGGCGAAGGCGACGUCCUGGACCGGCAUUGACGCUGAGGCGCGAAAGCCAGGGGAGCAAACGGG